RNAcentral lists this ribosomal RNA (550 nucleotides) under uncultured bacterium. RNAcentral's name for it is "bacterial SSU rRNA". It matches the Rfam family "Bacterial small subunit ribosomal RNA", at positions 149 to 687 of the family's 1533-position model. The record is from RNAcentral.
AUUGGAAACGAUAGCUAAUACCGCAUAACAAUAGAUGUUGCAUGACAACUAUUUGAAAGGGGCAAUUGCUCCACUACCAGAUGGACCUGCGUUGUAUUAGCUAGUUGGUGAGGUAACGGCUCACCAAGGCGACGAUACAUAGCCGACCUGAGAGGGUGAUCGGCCACACUGGGACUGAGACACGGCCCAGACUCCUACGGGAGGCAGCAGUAGGGAAUCUUCGGCAAUGGACGGAAGUCUGACCGAGCAACGCCGCGUGAGUGAAGAAGGUUUUCGGAUCGUAAAGCUCUGUUGUAAGAGAAGAACGAGUGUGAGAGUGGAAAGUUCACACUGUGACGGUAUCUUACCAGAAAGGGACGGCUAACUACGUGCCAGCAGCCGCGGUAAUACGUAGGUCCCGAGCGUUAUCCGGAUUUAUUGGGCGUAAAGCGAGCGCAGGCGGUUAGAUAAGUCUGAAGUUAAAGGCUGUGGCUUAACCAUAGUACGCUUUGGAAACUGUUUAACUUGAGUGCGGUAGGGGAGACUGGAACUCCUGGUGUAGCGGUGGAAU